Molecule: long non-coding RNA, 1402 nt
Organism: Carassius auratus (goldfish)
Lineage: Eukaryota; Metazoa; Chordata; Actinopteri; Cypriniformes; Cyprinidae
Exons: 3
Source: RefSeq, a predicted model, not a curated record
UUUAAACCCCACUUGAAAUAGACACAAACAGUUAUAUUUACCGUUAAUGCCUGUUUAAAUUUAUUCAUUUAUUUUAAUGCAUGCAUGCUUUUUUGUUUCUUUUUUUUCAGGGUACUUUUAAAGUGAUUUGCUGCCAGCUUUACCCUUGGCCGGAGUGAAGUAGUGAAACCGGAAGUGACAGUGCCAGGUUUGCCCUCUUCUGUUUCUAUCCUAGUAUUAAUCCAGCAGCCCCUCUACUCUUUUAAGAAAGACCUCAUUACCAGCCUCAUUGAUUGUGCUUCCUGCAUCAACGACCACAGCUUCUUCUACCACACCAGCUGAGAGAGAGAGAGAGAGGGAGGCUUAGCCCAGUGCAUCUGUGUGUCCUGCAUUAUGGGUAGGGAGGUAAGCAGUAGGCAGGAGGUUUAUGGUGCUGUAAUUGGUAGUUAGUGUGAUAUUUGUAAGACAAAUAGAGCUAUAUGUGAGAUUCCUCCUCUCUCUCUCCUCUCUAGUCUUUACAGCCACCAAAGGGCCUCAUUAUAGCCCACCGCAGCCCAGGCCUCACUGCUCCGCAUACACACACGAGGAGCAGGAAGUUGUGUGUGACAGUGUGGCUGCCAGGACUGAUAGAUGAUACAAUCACAGGUGUUUGUCCACAUUUCUUCUUCAUAAAUGCCCAUAUGACAAAACUGGGGUACUUGGAACACACAGGGCAGUGGACACAAGCAUUUGGACAGCUCUCAACAUGUUUGUCAUCAAAUGAGCCAUUAUCACAGGUACAGUCCAUCUCUCACAGGCAACAGAGUGUAUCCAGUAUACAGUAAUAUAUACAGUAACUACACUGUAUUUAGACCACAGUUUUUAUGCUUCAACUGUUUUGACACAGCCCUUUCUCUGUUUCUCUGUUCUUUAUUCAGUACAGAAGCUCUAGUGGUGUUGGUCGUCUUCUGAAAGACCUGAGGGACACAACGGCCACCAUACACAUCUGCAUCCUGUAUGUGGCUGAGAGGUUCCCAGCUGAACUUGGCUGAGGUCAGUGUCCGGUCAAGUGGAGUCGGGCCUGUGCGUCUGUGGGGGUGCAGAUGAAGUGGUCAGCGGUGUGACAGUUAGCAGGGAUUCUGACAGCCCCAGCUCCAGUGUGGAUUAGAGGUGAGGAGAGCAGACAGAGAGAGAGGGAGGUGGUGUGUGUGUGUGUGUGUGUGUGUAGGGCUCUGAAGCAUGGAGCUAACAUGGACUAACAAGGACUAGUCUUCCAGUGAAGGGAAUUCUGACUCAUUUCUGUGAAUCUUUGUCAUUGCUUGUUUCAAUUAACCAAUAAAAAAAAGAAAAAAAAAGAUGCAUUGACUAUAUUUCAUCUGUACAUCACCACAUGGUCCCUUGCAUCUUUGUUGUAGGAUUUUACAUACUCAAAAAAUGUCCUAAA